AUGGCUCAUUAAAUCAGUUAUCGUUUAUUUGAUAGUACCUUACUACUUGGAUAACCGUGGUAAUUCUAGAGCUAAUACAUGCUAAAAACCCCAACUCACGAAGGGGUGUAUUUAUUAGAUUAAAAACCAAUGCCCUUCGGGGCUCUUUGGUGAUUCAUAAUAACUUCUCGAAUCGCAUGGCCUUGCGCCGGCGAUGGUUCAUUCAAAUUUCUGCCCUAUCAACUUUCGAUGGCAGGGUCUUGGCCUGCCAUGGUUACAACGGGUAACGGAGGGUUAGGGCUCGACCCCGGAGAAGGAGCCUGAGAAACGGCUACUACAUCCAAGGAAGGCAGCAGGCGCGCAAAUUACCCAAUCCCGACUCGGGGAGGUAGUGACAAUAAAUACUGAUACAGGGCUCUUUUGGGUCUUGUAAUUGGAAUGAGUACAAUUUAAAUCCCUUAACGAGGAACAAUUGGAGGGCAAGUCUGGUGCCAGCAGCCGCGGUAAUUCCAGCUCCAAUAGCGUAUAUUAAAGUUGUUGCAGUUAAAAAGCUCGUAGUUGAACCUUGGGCCUGGCUGGCCGGUCCGCCUCACCGCGUGCACUGGUUCGGCCGGGCCUUUCCCUCUGGGGAACUGCAUGCUCUUCACUGAGCGUGUUAGGGAACCAGGACUUUUACUGUGAAAAAAUUAGAGUGUUCAAAGCAGGCCUAUGCUCGAAUACAUUAGCAUGGAAUAAUAGAAUAGGACGUGUGGUUCUAUUUUGUUGGUUUCUAGGACCGCCGUAAUGAUUAAUAGGGACAGUCGGGGGCAUCAGUAUUCAAUUGUCAGAGGUGAAAUUCUUGGAUUUAUUGAAGACUAACUACUGCGAAAGCAUUUGCCAAGGAUGUUUUCAUUAAUCAGGAACGAAAGUUAGGGGAUCGAAGACGAUCAGAUACCGUCGUAGUCUUAACCAUAAACUAUGCCGACUAGGGAUCGGACGAAGUUACAUAUUGACUCGUUCGGCACCUUA
This 987-nucleotide ribosomal RNA is filed under the name Hemibeltrania sp. CL12WA. RNAcentral's name for it is "SSU rRNA". It matches the Rfam family "Eukaryotic small subunit ribosomal RNA", at positions 93 to 1090 of the family's 1831-position model. The record is from RNAcentral. Lineage: Eukaryota; Fungi; Ascomycota; Sordariomycetes; Xylariales.